This 424-nucleotide long non-coding RNA is filed under the name Ananas comosus (pineapple). Its description in RNAcentral is "long non-coding RNA (ACOM_LNC036780)". The record is from RNAcentral. Lineage: Eukaryota; Viridiplantae; Streptophyta; Magnoliopsida; Poales; Bromeliaceae.
AAUUGCUUAUAUAUAUUUCUGAGAAAUCUUAGAUUUUUUUAUUUACUCCGCUUAGAAGAUUAAUAUAUUAAAUACGCUUUUAACGUUCCAAAUUCUUUAUAUGUCUUAAAACAACUGUUAUCUCUUAAAAUUACUAUUUUACCAUUUUAAAAAUAUCUUUUUACCGUCACCAAUUUUACUUAUUUGCUCUUAAGUUAGGAAAAAAUGUGUAUUUUGACUUUUAUAAACUCUGAUAAAAAUUCAAUCCAAAUUUAAUCCGAGAUAACUUGACGGAUUUUGACAAGGAAGUUAUUUUCGAAUAAUAAAGAAAAAUAUACGAUGAUUUAUUUCAAAUAAAAAAAAAAGACCAUAUAAAAUAUUUCAGAAGUUUUCAGAGAUACAUAGACAGUUAUUCUAAGAAAAAAAAAGAGUAAUGCUACAUAUA